AAGUCGUAACAAGGUUUCCGUAGGUGAACCUGCGGAAGGAUCAUUAUUGAAUUGAACUCGGUAUGGGUUGUUGCUAGCCUCCUAGAGGCAUCGUGCACGCCUUUCCGUUUCUCUCUUUACCCCCCUGUGCACCCUUUGUAGGCUUGGAUAACUUUCGAGGAAACUCGGUUUGGGGGUUGUAGUGCAUUAUUCCUACUUCCCCUACAUUUCCCGGCCUAUGUCCUUUCAUAUACCCCAUUGUAUGUCAUUAGAAUGAAACGAAUUGGGCCUUUACAAGCUCGAUAUAAUCUAUUACAACUUUCAACAACGGAUCUCUUGGCUCUC
Molecule: unclassified non-coding RNA, 324 nt
Filed under: fungal sp.
Lineage: Eukaryota; Fungi
Description: partial internal transcribed spacer region
Rfam family: Eukaryotic small subunit ribosomal RNA (bases 1-46)
Source: RNAcentral